RNAcentral lists this ribosomal RNA (262 nucleotides) under uncultured bacterium. RNAcentral's name for it is "partial 16S ribosomal RNA". It matches the Rfam family "Bacterial small subunit ribosomal RNA", at positions 1240 to 1500 of the family's 1533-position model. The record is from RNAcentral.
CAGAGGGAUGCAAAACUGCGAAGUGGAGCGAACCCCCAAAAGCCGUCUCAGUUCGGAUCGCAGGCUGCAACCCGCCUGCGUGAAGUCGGAAUCGCUAGUAAUCGCGGAUCAGCAUGCCGCGGUGAAUACGUUCCCGGGCCUUGUACACACCGCCCGUCACACCAUGAGAGUCGGGAACACCCGAAGCCCGUAGCCUAACUUGCAAGAGAGGGCGCGGUCGAAGGUGGGUUCGAUAAUUGGGGUGAAGUCGUAACAAGGUAAC